Molecule: long non-coding RNA, 280 nt
Organism: Hyla sarda
Lineage: Eukaryota; Metazoa; Chordata; Amphibia; Anura; Hylidae
Exons: 3
Source: RefSeq, a predicted model, not a curated record
AGUUUUCCCAGAGCUGGUGGGUGGAGCUCCCUCCUCCUCCCUCUAUAAACUUGUAUUUCUUAUCUUGCAGAAAAAAAGCUGAGCUUAUUUUCGGGGAAGAAGAUUUCAGCAACAGGGCUGUAUAAGGGAUUAUUCAGUAUUACUGCAGUUUGGCAUACUUUUGGCAUCUGGCAUUUGGCAUCUGUGAAUGCAGUCUAAAUUUCAUGAUGCCUUGUACACAUUCAAGGCACCCAGUGCCAGAGGCAGCAAAUCAACCCCAAAACAUGACAGCUGAACAAAU